Non-coding RNA from Odocoileus virginianus texanus, 3461 nucleotides. The record is from RefSeq and is a predicted model, not a curated record. Lineage: Eukaryota; Metazoa; Chordata; Mammalia; Artiodactyla; Cervidae.
CCUUUCAUCUUUAAAAAAUUCAUUUAUUCAUUCAUGCAAGAGCAAAAACAAAAAUAAGAAAAGUGUGCUGAGUGCCCAACAUGUCCAUCCAUAUGUGAGCACAAGAGAGAAGCCUUCUCUGGCCCCUGGAGCUUCCAAGCACUUUUUUUUAAAUAACACAGUAACAUACAAUCACAAAUUAUAAUUACUUUUCUAAAGGAAAGUAGAGGGUGCUAUUCAAUGUUUAAAUGGCAACUACACAGCUCUGAGAUGAGAGAAGAACCUUUUGAGGAAAUCUUCAUUAAGACUAUAUCUUCCUCUGAGUUCUCCCACAAGCAGGUCCUGGGAUGUGGCUUUGGGAGCAGGUAGUUCAUUUGGGAGGGUGAUGCAGGAAAUGAGAAAGGAAGCAGGAAGAGGGAGACAAAGAGCAAAGUGAUGUUAAUAGGAUGUGCUAUCUAGCUGGCCACCCCUGUGGAGAGUGGGAUCUCAAUCUGGCUGGGGAUCCCCAAAGGCACCACAUGGAAUGCCCCUCAGAACUGCCUGCCUUCACUUGAGGCUGGGCAUUUUUCCAUCUGAUUUCCAUCUGCCAAUAAUUGUCUGUUGCUCCCCCCACGCCAGGUUCCUUGACUGAGUAAGUCUCACAGCUUCAGAGAAAGACCUGUAGGAUUUAAAGUGCCCGCAGGUGAGUGCAGGGGUCUCUGCAGAAGAACCAGCAUGCAAUCAGAAAGCCACUUCUACCAGAGCUCUGGAGAAGGAAUGGGAUUCAGGGACCCUCCAGCUGCUGCCCCAUCCUGGGUCCAAUAGAGAGCCACCACCCUGGCGUUAGCCACCGAUGUCCUUCUCACUGCCAUGGACUCGAGCUGCCCCUGCUUUCCACACUGUGCUGUCAGCUCAGUGGCUCAGGCAACUUCUUCAAAGUGGGUGUCAGACAGUUUCACUCCUCUUCUGCAAACCAGCGUAUCCUCGCCCUAAUCCUUGCACCUACACGACCUUGCCCAGCACCGCCUGCUUCCUGUCUGACGGCACUGUCACCGUCCCUCCUCCCUGGGCUGCUGUCGCUCUGGGCCUGCUGCUCCAGGCCUGGGCUUCUGCUCAGUGCCCUUUGCCUGGACAUCGUGAGUUUUGCUCCCUCAAAUUACAUUCGAGGAGGACUUCCUGAACCCCUCUCCCCAGUCUGAAACCCCUUCCCUGCUCUUAGGGAGGAACCCCAGCUUCCACAGCAGGGCUCCGCACAGACAGGCUCUCAGGAAAUAUGUUCUCCAAGAAACGGACUCAAGGAAGAGGAGUAAACUAUAAACCAAGGUCCCGGAGUAGAUUCCCCCGCGCUCCGGGUCGGCUUUCCGGGGUUCACGCCCUUCCCUCCGCGCAAGCUCGGAGUACUAACGCCGGCGGGCCGUGCCCCGGAGCGCGUAAGAGCCAAUCCGCAGCCGGUGCGCGACUGAUUGGCGUCCAGCGGCAGAGGCUCCUGAUUCUGAUUGGACAAGCCUCUGUGGUAGGCGGGCCUACAAAGGCGGAGGCCGGAAGUGCAGCGGAGUUGCUCCGGCCUGGGCUGGGGUCCCCGGGGUUGUGCGGCUGGCAUGGCCGCGCUGCGAAGGCACGUGUUUGUUGGAAAAGUACUGAAGAAACUUUAUCCUGAGGUUUCCCACGGCCAAGAAAAGAGGGCCCCUGUGACUCCAGCCUCCAGAAACCCACCUGAGAAAGUGCCUCCUGAGAGAGUGAAGGACCAGAGCGACCCUCCUGAGACAGGUGGUGACACUCGGGUCCAGCCCACGCGGCGGCUCUAUACCGUGGGCCUGCCUCCCGAGGGGUGGGUCCCCCCUCCACCGGAGCCCCCGAGUUGCUCAAGUUCAGAGAGCUCUUCCAGCAGCGAGGACACAGGAGAUCAGGAUCUUCACGAUCUGCCAAAGAGAAGAAGAAUUAGAAAGCAUAAAUCAAAGAAAAAAUUUAAAAAUCCCAAUAACAUCCAUGUAGAACCAGCAGAAUCAGAGAAACAGCAGAGUCUUCUGCAAGAAAAAUUGCAGCCAUGGCACACAGAUGGCCCCACAAUAAGCAAAAAUAAAAAAAGGAAACUCAAAAAGAAACAGCAAAUGCAAAGGAAGAAAGCAGCUGGUUCACUAACAGGAGCCUCUGGCAUGCACUUCAUGUACCAGCCUGAGGAGACCAGCAGUGAGCAGGAGGAUGUGCCAGUGACUGAUGGAGAGUGCACUGGGGGGGCCACGGGGGGCGGGGCUGCAGGCGCUGUGGAGGAGAGGAUCCUGCCCCUUGAGGAGGGUGGAGUCCCGGACGCUGAGGAGGAAGAGGUGAAAAGUACCAAUGAAAAGGCAGAUGGCAUCCUGAACUUUUUGAAGUCAACACAAGAAAUUUAUUUUUAUGAUGAUGUCUCCAAGGAUUCCAAUUCUGGUGUCUUUAUGGAAAGUACCAACGAGCUAUUUAAACAACUAGAAACUCACAGUGUGUCCCCCUCAGACGUAUUCAUUCUGGAUCACAUGAAAACGCUGCUACUUUUGCACGACACCAAGAGAUUGAAGAGUGCCCUGGACCUGUUCCCGGAACACUGCAGGAUGCCACCUGAAUAUGCCCGAGUAAUCUUAGCUUUCUUUAAUUACUGGAUCACGCAUAUCCUUCCUGAGAAAAAUGAUGAAUGAAAUCAGUGCAUCUACUUAAAAAGAGCUAAUAUUUGACAAGAAAAUAGAAAAGACAGGGCUCGUCUUCCCCCUCACCUCACCGUGUUCUUAAGAGGUGUCUGUCCCACUAAGUGGAACCUCCUGGAGGCAGGUGAAUCAGCAAGGAUGCCCUACUGGUUCUGGAGAUCUGUCAUCUUAAGACUUGUUUCUGUGAAGCUCCCCAGGCUUAAUAAAAGCUGGUAAGUGGAGCCACAAACCAGGCCUGGACAAGGAGAGGCCCAGCCAGGAGAGGUGACCGGCCAGGUCAGGUCCACUGACCAGGAUGGGUCACUAGCCAGGACAAGUCCACCGACAAGGACAAAUCCACCAGCCAGGACAGGCCACCAACCAGGAGAGGUCCACCAUCCAGGAUGGGCCCCCAAUGAUGAUGGGCCUACUGUACCCCAGGGGCUGCCUCCUUGAGAAUGGAUGCUGAUCCAUUUUCCCCAUGAAGAUGGAAAAAGAACACAGCCACCCCCCGAAGUAGGAGCUGUGGCAGCUUCCUGUCUACACCUAUAAUGGCCUUCACUUACCCCUCAAUGGAGACAUACUCAGCCGCCGCCACUGCCUUUUCCUCCUGCCCUGAGACGUCACAUUGGUGAGGUCAGAGGCUGGGGAAUCAUGUCCCCUUCACCACACGGUUGUGGGGUCACUGGCAGGCAGGUGAUGUCAGCCUGCUGCCUCCUCUCCGGAACAUCCCACUGCCUUGGGCGAGACAUCUGACUUUCUGAUUCGCCAGGUUGUAAUUCUUUCAUUAAGAUGCCUCCUAAUUAACGACACAUUUGCCAGUAUAAAAAUAAAGUAUUGGCUGAUUCAUAA